This is a long non-coding RNA of Adelges cooleyi (spruce gall adelgid), 380 nucleotides long. RefSeq lists it as uncharacterized. The record is from RefSeq and is a predicted model, not a curated record. NCBI's taxonomy places the organism in Eukaryota, Metazoa, Arthropoda, Insecta, Hemiptera, Adelgidae. The transcript has 5 exons.
UAGCUCAUUCGUAAGUCGCAUAAGACCAUAUAGUUUCAAAAGCCGGACAAGUCGAUUAUUGUCUAAGAAAUUCUAUCAGCUCAACAAUAUUAAUCAAAUUCAAACUUGUAGAUUUCGUUAGACAAGUGGACAAGUUCAAACGUGAAAUCCAUUCUGUUGAAUUUUUUUUAACUUUUGCACACGUGUAAAAUAAAAAGUUCCAAAGAUGAAAUCUAUUAUUUUGCUAGCAUUGUUAUCUAAUUUUAUUGUAUCGUUUGUUGAUGAAGGUGACUGUAACGAAGCUUUCGUCCCUGUACAUGUUCCGCAAAAUUAUCAAGAGAAUUAUUGGAAGCAGGUUUUAGUCACAAAUAAAUUCAUUGAGAGUGCUUCUAGAGCAGGUA